This 254-nucleotide ribosomal RNA is filed under the name uncultured bacterium. RNAcentral's name for it is "partial small subunit ribosomal RNA". It matches the Rfam family "Bacterial small subunit ribosomal RNA", at positions 26 to 285 of the family's 1533-position model. The record is from RNAcentral.
AGGACGAACGCUGGCGGCGUGCUUAACACAUGCAAGUCGAGCGGAAAGGCCCUUCGGGGUACUCGAGCGGCGAACGGGUGAGUAACACGUGAGCAACCUGCCCUUAGCUCCGGGAUAGCUCCGGGAAACCGGAAUUAAUACCGGAUACGACCACGGCCGACAUCUGCUGUGGUGGAAAGGAUUCCGGCUAAGGAUGAGCUCGCGGCCUAUCAGCUUGUUGGUGGGGUAACGGCCUACCAAGGCGACGACGGGUA